UUAGUAAUGGAAAUGGGAGCCAGUUCCAUUCUCCUCUUGAGCGGCCGCUGCUGGUCAACAAUUGCACCGCCGAAGAACGCAAAGAAAAGCUCUCAAGAUACCGAAACAAGAGGACAAAAAGGAACUUUGGCAGAAAGAUCAAGUAUGCUUGCAGAAAGGCUCUGGCUGACAGUCAACCAAGAAUCAGAGGAAGGUUUGCCAAGACUGAAGAAUCUGAGAUAAGGAGGCAAUGAUAUUAUGAUGAAAACCAGUGGUUAGAAGAAGAAUCUGCAAUUAGUUUCUUUAGAAGGGCUGAAAUGAAAUAUGUAGAAGAACGCAAAGAAAAGCUCUCAAGAUACCGAAACAAGAGGACAAAAAGGAACUUUGGCAGAAAGAUCAAGUAUGCUUGCAGAAAGGCUCUGGCUGACAGUCAACCAAGAAUCAGAGGAAGGUUUGCCAAGACUGAAGAAUCUGAGAUAAGGAGGCAAUGAUAUUAUGAUGAAAACCAGUGGUUAGAAGAAGAAUCUGCAAUUAGUUUCUUUAGAAGGGCUGAAAUGAAAUAUGUA
RNAcentral lists this unclassified non-coding RNA (545 nucleotides) under Hevea brasiliensis (rubber tree). The record is from RNAcentral. Lineage: Eukaryota; Viridiplantae; Streptophyta; Magnoliopsida; Malpighiales; Euphorbiaceae.